RNAcentral lists this ribosomal RNA (373 nucleotides) under uncultured bacterium. RNAcentral's name for it is "bacterial SSU rRNA". It matches the Rfam family "Bacterial small subunit ribosomal RNA", at positions 525 to 896 of the family's 1533-position model. The record is from RNAcentral.
ACGGGGGGGGCAAGCGUUGUUCGGAAUUACUGGGCGUAAAGGGCGCGUAGGCGGCUCUUCAAGUCAGCCGUGAAAUCUCCAGGCUUAACCUGGAAGGGUCGGUUGAUACUGUCGAGCUAGAGUGUAGAAGAGGCAACUGGAAUUCCGUGUGUAGCGGUGAAAUGCGUAGAUAUACGGAGGAACACCUGCGGCGAAGGCGGGUUGCUGGGCUAACACUGACGCUGAGGCGCGAAAGCUAGGGUAGCAAACGGGAUUAGAUACCCCGGUAGUCCUAGCCUUAAACGAUGCUGACUUGGUGUCCCGGGUUUUAAGUCCCGGGGUGCUGGAGCUAACGCGUUAAGUCAGCCGCCUGGGGAGUACGGUCGCAAGGCUG